AUCCAACCAUCUCAUCCUCUGUCAUCCCCUUCUCCUCUCCUUUAUCUGAUAAACCAGACCUGUGGGAGAUAUGUUCAUUUGGAGCACAGGAUGAAUGUGAGGAAACAACAAACCCUCUUGACUCAUUUGCGAUGAAGCAGAAUUCCGAAGAGCUGAAAAGCAGCCCGAGUUGUUCUGGAUGCUGGAGGCAGGAGAGACUGUGGCCGGCUCUCCAUGUGAUCCUCAUCAAUUCAGGAAAGGAAAUAUGUGAAUUUCUUUAAUCCGGGACAUCUCUGGGCAGAUGUAGACACAAGCGAAGAGGAAUCUGAAAGUUUGGUCACAUCUUGGCAGACAUCAGAGUCCUUGCUUGCUGAUAGCUGAAGGAGCAGGCAUAAGCUGUUUCCAGCACUUUCUCACUUUCAUCAAGCCACGAGGAAGAGCGGGUGCAGCUCCUGGUAGCUGCACCCCAGGAGCCUUCUGCCUGAAACCGCUUUUCUCUUUCUCAUCCAGUAAGCCAGCAGCUAAUGCAAGGGGGCUAAUUGAGAUAAUACAAUUACCUCGGAAUGUACUGGUUACUGAAUUUCUUUUUUAAGGGGCCAAGAAAAGCAAACAGGACUAUGCUGCUGUCUCUUAGGCCGUUCUCAUGGCUUUAGGCCAUCACUCCCUGUCAAAAUGAAGGGACAAGAACUGCCUCUGAAAUCAUUAAAUGCAGAGAGAGCAAUAUUUGUGUGGCAGACAGAGCCAAGAAGAUGCUGGGGGAUGUGACCAAAGAGGAAAAGAGCCAAGGCAAGAAAUCAGGCUAAGCAGGAGCAGAAAGAACCUGCCAGUCCUGGAGACAUAAGUGGCCUGUCGGCAUCCUCACAAAGGAUUGCUUCAAUUUACAUUUUUUUAAGGAACGAAAGACAUAGGAGGCCAGAUGCCAUAAUUUCAGACAAAGCAGUAGCUAGAAAAGCCAAUUCUCCUACAGAGAGCUAGACUGUAUAUUGUUUUCAUUAUCCACCCAUAUGCCCUCUGCUUUCACAUAAAACCUAGUGCCCAUUUCCAAAAGGGGAAAUUUACUGCUGUCUGCUAGCCCAUUGUUAUGGAAGCUAUUUGUAUCAGUUAGAAAUAUCUGCAGAUGCAAAUAAAACUUGACUAUCAGGGA
Molecule: long non-coding RNA, 1123 nt
Organism: Cervus elaphus (red deer)
Lineage: Eukaryota; Metazoa; Chordata; Mammalia; Artiodactyla; Cervidae
Exons: 3
Source: RefSeq, a predicted model, not a curated record